AUGGACUACUAGGGUAUCUAAUCCUGUUCGAUACCCGCACCUUCGAGCUUCAGCGUCAGUUGCGCUCCCGUAAGCUGCCUUCGCAAUCGGAGUUCUUCAUGAUAUCUAAGCAUUUCACCGCUACACCAUGAAUUCCGCCUACGUUGUGCGCACUCAAGUCUGACAGUUCGCGCUGCAAUCUAGAAGUUGAGCUACUACAUUUCACAACACGCUUACCAAACGGCCUACGCUCCCUUUAAACCCAAUAAAUCCGGAUAACGCCCGAACCUUCCGUAUUACCGCGGCUGCUGGCAC
Molecule: unclassified non-coding RNA, 294 nt
Filed under: uncultured Prevotellaceae bacterium
Lineage: Bacteria; Pseudomonadati; Bacteroidota; Bacteroidia; Bacteroidales; Prevotellaceae
Description: contains 16S-23S intergenic spacer region
Source: RNAcentral